Molecule: ribosomal RNA, 239 nt
Filed under: uncultured bacterium
Lineage: Bacteria
Description: partial 16S ribosomal RNA
Rfam family: Bacterial small subunit ribosomal RNA
Source: RNAcentral
AGUGGCGGACGGGUGAGUAACGCGUGGGAAUCUGCCUCGUAGUGGGGGACAACCCGGGGAAACCCGGGCUAAUACCGCAUACGUCCUACGGGAGAAAGGGGGCCUCUGCUUGCAUGCUCUCGCUAUGAGAUGAGCCCGCGUCCGAUUAGCUGGUUGGUAGGGUAAAGGCCUACCAAGGCGACGAUCGGUAGCUGGUCUGAGAGGAUGGCCAGCCACACUGGGACUGAGACACGGCCCAG